UAGGGAAUCUUCCGCAAUGGACGAAAGUCUGACGGAGCAACGCCGCGUGAGUGAAGAAGGAUUUCGGUUCGUAAAACUCUGUUGUUAGGGAAGAAAAAAUGUAUAGUAACUAUAUACAAAAGAGACGGUACCUAACCAGAAAGCCACGGCUAACUACGUGCCAGCAGCCGCGGUAAUACGUAGGUGGCAAGCGUUGUCCGGAAUUAUUGGGCGUAAAGCGCGCGCAGGUGGUUUAGAAAGUCUGAUGUGAAAGCCCACGGCUCAACCGUGGAGGUGCAUUGGAAACUAAUAAACUUGAGUGCAGGAGAGAAAAGUGGAAUUCCUAGUGUAGCGGUGAAAUGCGUAGAGAUUAGGAGGAACACCGGUGGCGAAAGCGGCUUUUUGGCCUGCAACUGACACUGAGGCGCGAAAGCGUGGGGAGCAAACAGG
This 429-nucleotide ribosomal RNA is filed under the name Verrucomicrobiota bacterium. Its description in RNAcentral is "Verrucomicrobia bacterium partial 16S ribosomal RNA". It matches the Rfam family "Bacterial small subunit ribosomal RNA", at positions 355 to 776 of the family's 1533-position model. The record is from RNAcentral. Lineage: Bacteria; Pseudomonadati; Verrucomicrobiota.